UACGUAGGUGGCGAGCGUUAUCCGGAAUGAUUGGGCGUAAAGGGUGCGUAGGCGGCCUGCUAAGUCUGGAGUGAAAGGUACCGGCUCAACCGGUACAGGCUCUGGAAACUGGCGGGCUAGAGAGCAGGAGAGGGCGGUGGAACUCCAUGUGUAGCGGUAAAAUGCGUAGAUAUAUGGAAGAACACCAGUGGCGAAGGCGGCGAUCUGGGGUGCAACUGACGCUCAGUCCCGAAAGCGUGGGGAGCAAAUAGG
Molecule: ribosomal RNA, 252 nt
Filed under: uncultured Allobaculum sp.
Lineage: Bacteria; Bacillati; Bacillota; Erysipelotrichia; Erysipelotrichales; Erysipelotrichaceae
Description: partial 16S ribosomal RNA
Rfam family: Bacterial small subunit ribosomal RNA
Source: RNAcentral